This is a small nucleolar RNA of Neopelma chrysocephalum (saffron-crested tyrant-manakin), 74 nucleotides long. RefSeq annotates it as small nucleolar RNA SNORD34. The transcript has a single exon. The record is from RefSeq and is a predicted model, not a curated record. NCBI's taxonomy places the organism in Eukaryota, Metazoa, Chordata, Aves, Passeriformes, Pipridae.
CAGUGUCGAUGAUGUCGCUUUUUUACCUACAUUGUUCGAUGCUCCCUGAGAGAAACCCAAACACUGAGACACCG